This 1340-nucleotide ribosomal RNA is filed under the name Curtobacterium flaccumfaciens. RNAcentral's name for it is "bacterial SSU rRNA". It matches the Rfam family "Bacterial small subunit ribosomal RNA", at positions 134 to 1485 of the family's 1533-position model. The record is from RNAcentral. Lineage: Bacteria; Bacillati; Actinomycetota; Actinomycetes; Micrococcales; Microbacteriaceae.
GACUCUGGGAUAAGCGUUGGAAACGACGUCUAAUACUGGAUAUGAUCACUGGCCGCAUGGUCUGGUGGUGGAAAGAUUUUUUGGUUGGGGAUGGACUCGCGGCCUAUCAGCUUGUUGGUGAGGUAAUGGCUCACCAAGGCGACGACGGGUAGCCGGCCUGAGAGGGUGACCGGCCACACUGGGACUGAGACACGGCCCAGACUCCUACGGGAGGCAGCAGUGGGGAAUAUUGCACAAUGGGCGAAAGCCUGAUGCAGCAACGCCGCGUGAGGGAUGACGGCCUUCGGGUUGUAAACCUCUUUUAGUAGGGAAGAAGCGAAAGUGACGGUACCUGCAGAAAAAGCACCGGCUAACUACGUGCCAGCAGCCGCGGUAAUACGUAGGGUGCAAGCGUUGUCCGGAAUUAUUGGGCGUAAAGAGCUCGUAGGCGGUUUGUCGCGUCUGCUGUGAAAUCCCGAGGCUCAACCUCGGGCUUGCAGUGGGUACGGGCAGACUAGAGUGCGGUAGGGGAGAUUGGAAUUCCUGGUGUAGCGGUGGAAUGCGCAGAUAUCAGGAGGAACACCGAUGGCGAAGGCAGAUCUCUGGGCCGUAACUGACGCUGAGGAGCGAAAGCAUGGGGAGCGAACAGGAUUAGAUACCCUGGUAGUCCAUGCCGUAAACGUUGGGCGCUAGAUGUAGGGACCUUUCCNACGGUUUCUGUGUCGUAGCUAACGCAUUAAGCGCCCCGCCUGGGGAGUACGGCCGCAAGGCUAAAACUCAAAGGAAUUGACGGGGGCCCGCACAAGCGGCGGAGCAUGCGGAUUAAUUCGAUGCAACGCGAAGAACCUUACCAAGGCUUGACAUACACCGGAAACGGCCAGAGAUGGUCGCCCCCUUGUGGUCGGUGUACAGGUGGUGCAUGGUUGUCGUCAGCUCGUGUCGUGAGAUGUUGGGUUAAGUCCCGCAACGAGCGCAACCCUCGUUCUAUGUUGCCAGCGGGUUAUGCCGGGGACUCAUAGGAGACUGCCGGGGUCAACUCGGAGGAAGGUGGGGAUGACGUCAAAUCAUCAUGCCCCUUAUGUCUUGGGCUUCACGCAUGCUACAAUGGCCGGUACAAAGGGCUGCGAUACCGUAAGGUGGAGCGAAUCCCAAAAAGCCGGUCUCAGUUCGGAUUGAGGUCUGCAACUCGACCUCAUGAAGUCGGAGUCGCUAGUAAUCGCAGAUCAGCAACGCUGCGGUGAAUACGUUCCCGGGCCUUGUACACACCGCCCGUCAAGUCAUGAAAGUCGGUAACACCCGAAGCCGGUGGCCUAACCCUUGUGGAAGGAGCCGUCGAAGGUGGGAUCGGUGAUAGGACUAAG